Molecule: ribosomal RNA, 508 nt
Filed under: uncultured bacterium
Lineage: Bacteria
Description: partial 16S ribosomal RNA
Rfam family: Bacterial small subunit ribosomal RNA
Source: RNAcentral
GACGAACGCUGGCGGCGUGCCUAAUACAUGCAAGUCGAACGCUUCUUUCCUCCCGAGUGCUUGCACUCAAUUGGAAAGAGGAGUGGCGGACGGGUGAGUAACACGUGGGUAACCUACCCAUCAGAGGGGGAUAACACUUGGAAACAGGUGCUAAUACCGCAUAACAGUUUAUGCGGCAUGGCAUAAGAGUGAAAGGGGCUGUAGGGUGUGGCUGAUGGCUGGACCCGCGGUGCAUUAGCUAGUUGGUGAGGGAACGGCUCACCAAGGCCACGAUGCAUAGCCGACCUGAGAGGGUGAUCGGCCACACUGGGACUGAGACACGGCCCAGACUCCUACGGGAGGCAGCAGUAGGGAAUCUUCGGCAAUGGACGAAAGUCUGACCGAGCAACGCCGCGUGAGUGAAGAAGGUUUUCGGAUCGUAAAACUCUGUUGUUAGAGAAGAACAAGGACGUUAGUAACUGAACGUCCCCUGACGGUAUCUAACCAGAAAGCCACGGCUAACUACGUG